This is a long non-coding RNA of Spinacia oleracea (spinach), 777 nucleotides long. RefSeq lists it as uncharacterized. The record is from RefSeq and is a predicted model, not a curated record. Lineage: Eukaryota; Viridiplantae; Streptophyta; Magnoliopsida; Caryophyllales; Amaranthaceae. The transcript has 3 exons.
UAAGGUUUCCCUUCUCUCUCUUCUAUAUAUGUAUCACAAGUCAUCGGAUGGUGGUUUACCAGUUGGUGGUGGCCUUGUUUCAACAGUGCAGUCCAUAGGUUCUUCGCAUAUUUUCCUGUUGUGUUCAUGUUUCUUGCAGUUGCCACACUUAUAUAUUCUACCUCCCACCCAAUGCAACAUGUUGAGAAUCAUCAACCUUCCUAUUCUGUUUCUUGUUGUUCAAACCUAGAGAUACGUCUUUCCUUUUCUUUUGUGCAGCUUCCUCUUCUUCCCUUGCCCCAAUCUUUCUUUUCUUCUUAGAUGGUCUAUCAAGCGUAAUAAUAUAAGGAGGGGGCAGGCUCUACAUUUUGACUAUUUUACCAUUGAUUAGGACUAGGUAAGGGUGGUACAAUAGGCUCAUAUGCAUCCAUAUACAUCUCCUUUGAGUACCAAUCCCAAAAAAUCUUUCGGACUAAGCCUCAUACACAGGAUGCACUCGUAAGCAUGAUGACACGGGAUCCCCGCCAACUCCCAACUGUAGCAGGUGGUUGAAGGUUAAGAAUUGGUUGGCUUGAUGAAUCCAAAAGGCUACGGCGGGACAACUCCAAGUUUGGUGUUGAAGAUGCACUUAAGUUUUAAUUGGUGGGCUUGCGGUAUUCUUCACCAUACGGCCUUUUCAAGCCAACACGCACCACUCUAGAACCUCUUAGAUGUGCGGCACGGUCGGGCCCAAGAGUCAUGUACAAGGGAUCCUUGUUUAAAAUUGUAGUAACCUUGCCUUCGGCACAUGUUUGUUGA